This 2970-nucleotide unclassified non-coding RNA is filed under the name Hevea brasiliensis (rubber tree). The record is from RNAcentral. Lineage: Eukaryota; Viridiplantae; Streptophyta; Magnoliopsida; Malpighiales; Euphorbiaceae.
AACAGCAUCAACGUUGCAGAGUUAAGAGAGGGCUUAACUUUGUGUUAAGAGAGGGCUUGUCUCUAGAUAAUUGCAGAGUCCUCUCCUGUUAAACAUUCUAUUAAUCUAGUAGCUAAACCAAAAACUCACAACUCCCUUCAAAAGUGGCACUAAAUGGGUGAAUUUGAUGUUCAUUCAAGUGCAUCAGAACAAGCAUUGUAAAUUCUCUCUCUUGAGAGAGAGAUUUUGCUCACUUUUUUUCGGCUUUCUUUCUCGGAUUUUAACCGAGCGAUUGGUACUUCCCCUGCCCAAAGGGCAGGAGAGGGCUUCUCUAUUUUGCUCCAACUGGAUUCAUGGCUUUCCUCUCCAUAUCAGGUUGGUUGUUGAUAAUUUCGAUUUUGGUUUUGGUUUGCGAAUCUUGGAGCUUUAAAGGUGGGGGAAAUACACUAUUGAUCAGUCAUCUGCUAGAGCUGAGGUAAGGCUCUGUUAGAGCUGGUAAAGUUCAGAUUAUGUUGUUCUGUUCUAGGUCUAGAGGCAUCCACUGCUGCGAUGGAAGGGCUAUAUGCAUGCUGAUGUCGGGACCUCCAGGGUGGUCUAUAGCUGAAUGACGCUUGAGCCUGUGCUUCUUAUUGCUUGUGAUAAGUCUCUUUGAGAUUAUUGGUUUUGUUAGUGAUCUCAACCUCGUUCAGUAAUCCAACGUGUUGAAGGUUGCAAGAACAGCGGCACGAUGCAUCUUUCUCUUCUCCUAGGGUUUCUGAGUAGGUGGGAGAUUGGGUUGGGCUGUUGGUAUACUAGGCUAGUUUGCGCUGGUUUUGGGCCGCUAUUUUUAUGUUCUAAGCCCAGCAAAUGUGUGUUGCCCUUUGGGCCAUUUAAUGAAAUGCAAUUGUAAUUCACAAACAAAAGAAAAAGAAAUCAGAACAAGCAUUUAAUACCAUAUACAAAUUAACGGAUAUGUUACAUAUUCCCUUUGAACAAUGAAGGAGAUCAUAAGAUCAUAGUUGUAGAACAUUAUAAUUUUAUUUACAAACCACUUGCAACUAAGACCCUUCCUGCAUGUGGAUAUGAGACCGUCCCUUGUUGUUUACCUCAAGAGGCCUUCUUCUGUUUGUAUUUUUUGGCACAGACAAUGUAGACGAACAUGUUUAUGACGCUAAGUCCAGCUAAGAGCCAGAAAUAAUAAUCAAGAUGGCCCUUGUUCAAGUUGUCAGGAAUCCAUCCUGGCUUCCCACCUGCAGUUGUGAAGUAUGUUACCAUAGUCAGAAUAAAAGAGCUCAGAUAAUUGCCCAAAGAUGUUGUCAGAAGUGACAAUGCACUGCAUAAACUCCGCAUGGCAUCUGGAGAUUGCUCAUAGAAAAAUUCAAGCUGCCCGAUAAAUGUAAAGACCUCCGCAGCACCUACAAACAUAUAUUGGGGGAUUUGCCAAAAGAUACUAAGAGGCACAGCAGCAUCCUCAUCGACCAACCCAAGCUCUUUGGCGAGCUGUAGACGCCUGAUCUCUACCAAAGCAGCAGCAGACAUGGAUAAAACUGAAAUGAAAAGGCCAAUUCCCAUCCGUUGCAAUUGAGAGAAGCCCCUCUCUUUUCCUGUGAACUUCCUGGCAAUCGGAACAAUGAUCCUAUCAUAGAUUGGCACCCAGCAAAUAACACUGAUAACAUCAAAUGUUGACAAGGAGGCAGGAGGAAUGGUGAAAGAACCAAUGGUUGUGUCCAUCAGCAUCCCUUGUUCCACAAACAUUGUAGACAUUUGGGCAUAGACAGCAGAAAAGACGAUUCCUGUGGCCCAGAUUGGGAACAUGCGGACCAAAAUCUUCAAUUCCUCCACCUGUGUCACUGUACAAAGCCUCCAUGGAUUGGAAAAGUCACCACUUUUGGCAUCAGUAUCUGAAAUUACAGCAGCUUUAUCAAGGCACUUCAAGCCAUUGCUAUGCUCCAGCUUUCUGCUCCCUUCAAUCGCUGAGCUUCCUUCUUGUGUUUCAUAUAGGAGACUACUAUCGCUGGGAACCUCCAGAUUCCUCUUACGGAAUGAUGCAACCAAAACCUGGCACAUUCUUGUAAUAGGACUCCCCCCUGGUUUCUGAAAUCUAUAGAGGGUUGUGCCUGAAAAGAAGCUUGCAAUAGCAAUGCCCAUAAAUAAUGCAGGAAUUCCAAAUCCCAGACCCCACCCAGCAUUGUCUUGAAUAUAAACCAGUAGACUACUUGAUAUAAGAGCACCAAUGUUGAUAGAAAAAUAAAACCAGUUGAAGAAAGAUCCCUUCUUCACCCUUUCCUGAGGAUCAGUGUCAUCAAAUUGGUCAGCCCCAAAGGAAGAAACACAAGGCUUGAUACCACCUGUCCCAAGUGCAAUCAGAUAAAGCCCAAAGAAGAACACUGCAUAUUGAGCUGGACUUGCAGGAGGACAUAUAGAACCCACACAUUCAACUGGCUUUAAUGCGGGAACUGAAGCUGAGAGUGUCAAGGUACACAUCCCAAUUAAAUAGAUUGUUGAGAAAGCAGCUAUUGUCCAAUAUCUUCCCCAAUAAGCAUCUGCCAGGACAGCUCCAAUGAGGGGCAUAAUGUAGCAAGUGCCUGCCCAGGUUGUAACAUUUCUAGCCGCAGACACAUUUCCUUCGUGCAGCUUAUUGGUAAGAUAAGUAACAAGAUUAGUGGCGAUCCCAUAAUAGGCCAAACGCUCACAACAUUCAGUACCCAAAAUGAAAGGACAUGCUCUCCAAUUUCCAGUCUUCUCUUUAAUGACAGGAUUGCCAUGAAGGUCAACUGAGCCAUCGCCCGUAUAGAGCUUAUUGCUCUUGUUCUGUUCCAGGAGCCCGUCCUCCAAAAGCGAUUUCUGUUCCUCCACCGAACCCAUGUUAAAUUCUACGAUUGAACAAGAGGAUGAUUUGGGUCGAUCAAUCAGAGAAGAGAAGGGGAGAAUCAGAUUAAAAAGUGCCGGGCGAGGGAUCAAUGGAUGACGUAUAAUGUUGAACAAGGUAGGUGGGCCGGUUUAGGAACUUUU